AUGGAGCAAACGUUAAAUUCUGAUAAAAAAAUAAAAUAUAAUAUGAGUAAAAUAUAUUUUAAUAAGUCGCAUAAGAACAAUGAAAGUUUUAAAGGUGAACAAAUCGAAAUAUUGUUAGAUAAUAAAAAGAUAACUCCAAAACCAAUAUAUUUAAAUUUUAUUGAUACUGAAACAAAAAAGUCAUUAGAUAAAAUUGAUUAUUUAUUACAACAUUUUGAUAAUAAAAAUAAAAUAGCUAACCAAAAAAAAGAAUCACUACUACUUAAUGAAAAUGAUAAAAGUGGUAUUGUAGAACCAAAUGUAAAUGAAAAAAAAGAUGAAAUGAUAGUACUUCAAAAUCAAAAAAAUAAUGAUGUUAUUCUAAAUAAAAAAUUACAACAAGUUUAUAAACAAAAACACAAAUUGAACGAUAUAAAUUUAACAGCUUGCUCAAAGCAUUUUCAAUAUGAAGAAAAUAUACUAAAACUUUAUGAUAAAAUUUUACUAAGUGAAACAGAAACAAUAAUUGUGUUCAACAUACCCAAUUUAUUAAAUGACGUAGAAAAAGAAAAAGAAAUUAUUGAAAAAGCAAACGAACGAUAUGAAAAGUUGUUAAAAAAUGAUGAAAGUAAUUAUGUUAAUAAGUCAAUGCAAACUUUAAAUAUUUUUAAAAAAAAUAAAGAUGUAUAUGUGUCUACUAUUAACAAACAAGAUAAAAGUUCUCAAACGAAUUUAUAUAAAUUGCAUAAAUUAAUUCUAAGGAACGCUUUAAACAAGUUAAAUUAUGUGCAUAAUUGCAUGGAUAAAUAUGUAUAUAUAUAUAUAUUAUAGUGCUACAGAGUAAUAGGCAAAAUCGUUACGAUCUGAUACGAAACAGUACGAUCUAAUACGAAACAGUACGAUCUGAUACGAAACAGUACGAUGUGAUACGAAACAGUACGAUGUGAUACGAAACAGUANNNNNNNNNNAACAGUACGAUGUGAUACGAAACAGUACGAUGUGAUACGAAACAGUAUGAUGUGAUACGAAACAGUAUGAUGUGAUACGAAACAGUACGAUAGGAUAUUGAUGUAGACUAAGCUAUUAAACAAUUUAAUUGAUGUUACAACUUUUUGUAUUUAUAUAUUUAAAUAUAAUUAUAUUUAGUAUGUAUCGUAGUUACAGAACAAAGUUCAAAAAAAAUGCUUAUAUAUUUAUAUAUAUGCAAAGAUUAUAGUAUAUAUAUAUAUAUAUAUAUUUUUUUUGAGCUACUUACUGUUAUGCAUAUAUAUAAAUAUAUACAUAUAUACACGUCAACACGCACCUACGCGUAUAUCUUCCCCCCUGCAAUCUUAUAUUUAUACAGAUCCGAAGUGUUACACAAGGAGUUUUUAAAAUAUAGAAAUAAAAAAUUUAAAAGCAUUAUAGAAGAAUAUAAA
Molecule: long non-coding RNA, 1398 nt
Filed under: Piliocolobus tephrosceles (Ugandan red Colobus)
Lineage: Eukaryota; Metazoa; Chordata; Mammalia; Primates; Cercopithecidae
Description: lncRNA (ENSPTEG00000023094.1)
Source: RNAcentral